This is a long non-coding RNA of Manis pentadactyla (Chinese pangolin), 989 nucleotides long. RefSeq lists it as uncharacterized. The transcript has 5 exons. The record is from RefSeq and is a predicted model, not a curated record. Lineage: Eukaryota; Metazoa; Chordata; Mammalia; Pholidota; Manidae.
CCGCCCGCCCUCCUCCCCGCCCGCAACCUGCGGGCGGCGGCGACCUAGCCGGGCGCGCUCCGGGCCAGCGGCGUGGGGGCCCGCGGGCCCGGCUGGGGUGGUGGUGACUGUCGCUGACCCGGAAGAAGCUUGGCUCGCCCGAAGGAGGGAAGGAUUCAUGACAAAGACGGCCCCAUUCAAUCCAGCCCUCGGAGACGCGCCUGGUAGGAAGAGCUACUAAAGGCAAAUAUUGACAAAGAUCCAGGCUUGGGAUUUGGCUACUGUCAUAAAUAAGACGUGAAUUGGGUCAUGACAGUCACAACUAUUUAAAGGCAAGUCCUGGGCCCAGGCCAGUAAAUCCUAUGGAGGAUCAUGCCACUAAUAGAAUAACUCCUUAGUGCUGAGAUAUGCUGGACAAUGUCUUACAGAAGAUGUAAUCGGAACUAUUUUGAUGGAAAGGGCUUGAUGUGGCACAUAUGCAGCAGAAGAACAUUAGGUCUUUCAAACUCACCCAGAUAUGCUUCAAGAUUUAGUACAAGUGUCACCUCUACUGUGAAGCCUUCCUGACCUCCAUGUGCUGGUUGGAUUUCUCUGUGGGGCAAGACAGGAAGGAUAUUUGGAAAUGGAGGCAAGGAAAGGGACUCCCUGAACAUGCCAUCAUCUUGGACAGUCAUGCCGACCACUUUAAGGAGAUUCUUGGGUGUAAUAGAAAUGGACCCACUUGGGAUAUGCAUACUAUUGGAAUGAAUAUUAAUGUAUGCCUUCAGUCAAGGUAAAUCUGUUCAAGAGGCACCCGUGAUGAGUGGCAGAUAUUUUUUUUAAAGAGGAACUUCAGAGUGUGUUAAAAGAGGGACCUUAGUGGAAGCCCUGAAGAGAUGUGGAAAUUAAUCAUAACACUUGAUGGAGUACAAAAAUAUGAAGUGAAUAUAACAAGGCAGUAGAAAGAGCAUCAUGGAAAAUAAAUGAUUAAAAAACUCAAAGGAAUGGAUCCAUUUGAAAAUUUGAUGAAA